GGUGGAGUCGUAGACAAAUUAUUACCAAGGUAGCAUUAUUUAAUUCUUUUUUAUAUUUGUUAUAUAAUUUACUUUUAUCACGUUAUUUGUCAAUUAAUGCAAUGACUUUUCGUUUAUUUUUUGGUUAGUUUCAUGUAGCUUUGUUGUUAUCUCUAACUGUUGUUAGGGACAUUCGCGCGCAAGCUGUCGGGGGAGUUGUUCCAGUGAAAUGACGAAACCACCCUUGGAAUUUGGCUAUGAUAGUCGAUAGGAGGCAGGGCAGCUGAGCGGAGAGCGAAUUCCCAGCUAUUUGAUUUGCCGCAUCUACGCGAGUGUCCACCGUUUUUCUAUACAUAUUUUUUUCCUUUUUGUGGUAUUUUCUUUUCCUUGUAUAAAUGUUUUCUUGUUCAAUUAUUCAAAGAUACAUGCUUUAAAAACAAGGGCUUUUGUCAUAAAUAAUUAUGGA
This 445-nucleotide long non-coding RNA is filed under the name Theobroma cacao (cacao). RNAcentral describes it as "long non-coding RNA (TCAC_LNC005313)". The record is from RNAcentral. Lineage: Eukaryota; Viridiplantae; Streptophyta; Magnoliopsida; Malvales; Malvaceae.